This 154-nucleotide ribosomal RNA is filed under the name Bacillus sp. SJS. RNAcentral's name for it is "partial 16S ribosomal RNA". It matches the Rfam family "Bacterial small subunit ribosomal RNA", at positions 1 to 162 of the family's 1533-position model. The record is from RNAcentral. Lineage: Bacteria; Bacillati; Bacillota; Bacilli; Caryophanales; Bacillaceae.
CUUUUUGGAGAGUUUGAUCCUGGCUCAGGACGAACGCUGGCGGCGUGCCUAAUACAUGCAAGUCGAGCGGACCUCUUCGGAGGUCAGCGGCGGACGGGUGAGUAACACGUGGGCAACCUGCCUGUAAGACUGGGAUAACUCCGGGAAACCGGAG